This 961-nucleotide ribosomal RNA is filed under the name Macromia splendens. RNAcentral describes it as "partial large subunit ribosomal RNA". The record is from RNAcentral. Lineage: Eukaryota; Metazoa; Arthropoda; Insecta; Odonata; Macromiidae.
AUGUAAGAAUUUAAAGGUCGAACAGACCUAUCAUUUAAGCGGCUACACCUAAAUAUUAUCUUAAUCCAACAUCGAGGUCGCAAGCCCUCCCGUAAAUAUGAACUCUGGAAGAAGAUUACGCUGUUAUCCCUAAGGUAACUUAAUCUAACAAUCAAUAAUAAUGGAUCUUAUGUUCAUAAAUCAAUGUAUUGUAAAUAAAAAAGUUAAUUUUAUAUUUUUGUCACCCCAACAAAAUAUUCAUCCAAAAUAAUUAUAAAUAAUAUAAUAUAAGUAAUCAAAUAAAUAUAAAGCUCUAUAGGGUCUUCUCGUCUACCAAUAAAAUUUCAGCCUUUUGACUAAAAAGUUAAAUUUUAAAUUCAAAAAAAAUGAGACAGUUAAUUCUUCGUCAAACCCUUCAUUCCAGCCUCCUUUUAAAAGACUAAUGAUUAUGCUACCUUUGCACGGUCAGAGUACCGCGGCCGUUAAAUUAUUCACUGGGCAGGUCAAACCUCUUAUUAUAACCCAAGAGGACAGUGUUUUUGAUAAACAGGCGAGAAUUAUUUUGCCGAAUUCCUUAUCUUAUCCUCUCAUUAAAUUUAUUAUAAACAAAUUAAAUAUACUAAUUCAAUCAUUAUUUCAUAGAGCAAAAAAUUUAUUCUAUUUUUUUAAUAAAAUACUAAAUAAAAAAAAAUCAUAUUAUCAACAAUUUAAGUUAUAACACACUUUAUAAUGAUGGAUAAUUAUAACCCUACAAAAAAUAAAUAAAUAACAAUUAUAGUAUUAAUAUAGAGCUUAUCCCCUAUAAUAUUUAACUUUAAAUAUAAAAUCCUAAAAAUAAGAAUUUUAACUAAAAAGAAUAAAUUAAAUUUAUUUAUUAAAAAACCAGAUACCUUUAAAACGAAUUAGAUAUCCCAUCUAUGAUGUAUUAUUAAUAAUUAUUCCACAUUAAAUAAAUUCUAACAUAGCUCUUCUGAAAUCGAGA